This 450-nucleotide ribosomal RNA is filed under the name uncultured bacterium. RNAcentral describes it as "bacterial SSU rRNA". It matches the Rfam family "Bacterial small subunit ribosomal RNA", at positions 354 to 796 of the family's 1533-position model. The record is from RNAcentral.
GUGGGGAAUUUUGGACAAUGGGCGCAAGCCUGAUCCAGCCAUGCCGCGUGAGUGAAGAAGGCCUUCGGGUUGUAAAGCUCUUUCGGUGAAGACGAAACGGUUAGCGUUAAUAGCGCUGACUAAUGACGGUACUCACAGAAGAAGCACCGGCUAACUACGUGCCAGCAGCCGCGGUAAUACGUAGGGUGCAGGCGUUAAUCGGAAUUACUGGGCGUAAAGCGUGCGCAGGCGGUUUGCUAAGACAGGUGUGAAAUCCCCGGGCUUAACCUGGGAAUUGCGCUUGUAACUGGCAAGCUAGAGUGUGGCAGAGGGGGGUGGAAUUCCACGUGUAGCAGUGAAAUGCGUAGAUAUGUGGAGGAACACCGAUGGCGAAGGCAGCCCCCUGGGUUAACACUGACGCUCAGGCACGAAAGCGUGGGGAGCAAACAGGAUUAGAUACCCGAGUAGUCC